Molecule: ribosomal RNA, 766 nt
Filed under: uncultured bacterium
Lineage: Bacteria
Description: bacterial SSU rRNA
Rfam family: Bacterial small subunit ribosomal RNA
Source: RNAcentral
UCGAACGCGGUUGCCCCGCAAGGGGUAACUGAGUGGCGAACGGGUGAGUAACACGUGGGUGACCUACCCUCGAGUGGGGGAUAACAUCCCGAAAGGGGUGCUAAUACCGCAUGACAUCCUGUCUUUGAACAGAUGGACAUUAAAGCCGGGGAUCGCAAGACCUGGCGCUCGUGGAGGGGCCCGCGCCCGAUUAGCUAGUUGGUGAGGUAAUGGCUCACCAAGGCUACGAUCGGUAUCCGGCCUGAGAGGGCGGACGGACACACUGGGACUGAGACACGGCCCAGACUCCUACGGGAGGCAGCAGUGGGGAAUUGUUCGCAAUGGGCGAAAGCCUGACGACGCAACGCCGCGUGGAGGACGAAGAUCUUCGGGUCGUAAACUCCUUUCGAUCGGGACGAAUGAUCGGCGACCUAAUACGUCGUCGGAAUGACGGUACCGAGAGAAGAAGCCCCGGCUAACUCCGUGCCAGCAGCCGCGGUAAUACGGGGGGGGCAAGCGUUGUUCGGAAUUACUGGGCGUAAAGGGCGCGUAGGCGGCCCUCUAAGUCAGACGUGAAAUCCCACGGCUCAACCGUGGAACUGCGUCUGAUACUGGAGGGCUUGAAUCCGGGAGAGGGAUGUGGAAUUCCAGGUGUAGCGGUGAAAUGCGUAGAUAUCUGGAGGAACACCGGUGGCGAAGGCGGCAUCCUGGACCGACACUGACGCUGAGGAGCGAAAGCCAGGGGAGCAAACGGGAUUAGAUACCCCGGUAGUCCUGGCCCUAAACG